GGCGGGACACGUGGUAUCCUGUCUGAAUAUGGGGGGACCAUCCUCCAAGGCUAAAUACUCCUGACUGACCGAUAGUGAACCAGUACCGUGAGGGAAAGGCGAAAAGAACCCCGGCGAGGGGAGUGAAAAAGAACCUGAAACCGUGUACGUACAAGCAGUGGGAGCCUCUUUAUGGGGUGACUGCGUACCUUUUGUAUAAUGGGUCAGCGACUUAUAUUCUGUAGCAAGGUUAACCGAAUAGGGGAGCCGAAGGGAAACCGAGUCUUAACUGGGCGUUAAGUUGCAGGGUAUAGACCCGAAACCCGGUGAUCUAGCCAUGGGCAGGUUGAAGGUUGGGUAACACUAACUGGAGGACCGAACCGACUAAUGUUGAAAAAUUAGCGGAUGACUUGUGGCUGGGGGUGAAAGGCCAAUCAAACCGGGAGAUAGCUGGUUCUCCCCGAAAGCUAUUUAGGUAGCGCCUCGUGAAUUCAUCUCCGGGGGUAGAGCACUGUUUCGGCUAGGGGGCCAUCCCGGCUUACCAACCCGAUGCAAACUGCGAAUACCGGAGAAUGUUAUCGCGGGAGACACACGGCGGGUGCUAACGUCCGUCGUGAAGAGGGAAACAACCCAGACCGCCAGCUAAGGUCCCAAAGUCAUGGUUAAGUGGGAAACGAUGUGGGAAGGCUCAGACAGCCAGGAUGUUGGCUUAGAAGCAGCCAUCAUUUAAAGAAAGCGUAAUAGCUCACUGGUCGAGUCGGCCUGCGCGGAAGAUGUAACGGGGCUAAACCAUGCACCGAAGCUGCGGCAGCGACACGAAGUGUUGUUGGGUAGGGGAGCGUUCUGUAAGCCUGUGAAGGUGUGCUGUGAGGCAUGCUGGAGGUAUCAGAAGUGCGAAUGCUGACAUAAGUAACGAUAAAGCGGGUGAAAAGCCCGCUCGCCGGAAGACCAAGGGUUCCUGUCCAACGUUAAUCGGGGCAGGGUGAGUCGACCCCUAAGGCGAGGCCGAAAGGCGUAGUCGAUGGGAAACAGGUUAAUAUUCCUGUACCAGGUGUUACUGCGAAGGGGGGACGGAGAAGGCUAUGUUGGCCGGGCGACGGUUGUCCCGGUUUAAGCGUGUAGGUGUGUGUUCCAGGUAAAUCCGGUUCACUUUAACACUGAGGCGUGAUGA
RNAcentral lists this ribosomal RNA (1150 nucleotides) under Citrobacter amalonaticus. RNAcentral's name for it is "partial 23S ribosomal RNA". It matches the Rfam family "Bacterial large subunit ribosomal RNA", at positions 416 to 1569 of the family's 2925-position model. The record is from RNAcentral. Lineage: Bacteria; Pseudomonadati; Pseudomonadota; Gammaproteobacteria; Enterobacterales; Enterobacteriaceae.